This is a non-coding RNA of Triticum urartu, 126 nucleotides long. NCBI's taxonomy places the organism in Eukaryota, Viridiplantae, Streptophyta, Magnoliopsida, Poales, Poaceae. The record is from Rfam.
UUUAUACUCCCUCCGUCCGGAAAAACUUGACCCUCAAAUGGAUGUAUCUAGCACCAAGUUAGUGCUAGAUACAUCCAUUUGAGAAACAACCUUGGGACAAGAUUUUUCAGACGGAGGGAGUAUUAU